AUUGAAUUAGUUUAUAGAAAAAUAAGGAAUUGUGGAUUCCUGGAACCUUUAUAGUAGGAUUCAAUC
This 66-nucleotide transfer RNA is filed under the name Aguriahana triangularis. RNAcentral's name for it is "tRNA-His". Lineage: Eukaryota; Metazoa; Arthropoda; Insecta; Hemiptera; Cicadellidae. The record is from RNAcentral.